UGGGGAAUUUUGGACAAUGGGCGCAAGCCUGAUCCAGCCAUUCCGCGUGAGUGAAGAAGGCCUUCGGGUUGUAAAGCUCUUUCGGCAGGAACGAAACGGUUUGGGCUAAUACCCUGAGCUAAUGACGGUACCUGAAGAAGAAGCACCGGCUAACUACGUGCCAGCAGCCGCGGUAAUACGUAGGGUGCGAGCGUUAAUCGGAAUUACUGGGCGUAAAGCGUGCGCAGGCGGUUUUGUAAGACAGAUGUGAAAUCCCCGGGCUCAACCUGGGAACUGCGUUUGUGACUGCAAGACUCGAGUGUGGCAGAGGGGGGUGGAAUUCCACGUGUAGCAGUGAAAUGCGUAGAGAUGUGGAGGAACACCGAUGGCGAAGGCAGCCCCCUGGGUCAACACUGACGCUCAUGCACGAAAGCGUGGGUAGCAAACAGGAUUAGAUACCCUGGUAGUCCACGCCCUAAACGAUGCGAACUAGGUGUUGGGGAAGGAGACUUCCUUAGUACCGCAGCUAACGCGUAAGUUCGCCGCCUGGGAGUACGGUCGCNAGAUUAAAACUCAAAGGGGAUUUU
Molecule: ribosomal RNA, 566 nt
Filed under: uncultured bacterium
Lineage: Bacteria
Description: bacterial SSU rRNA
Rfam family: Bacterial small subunit ribosomal RNA
Source: RNAcentral